Molecule: ribosomal RNA, 1100 nt
Filed under: uncultured Sebacina
Lineage: Eukaryota; Fungi; Basidiomycota; Agaricomycetes; Sebacinales; Sebacinaceae
Description: eukaryotic LSU rRNA
Rfam family: Eukaryotic large subunit ribosomal RNA (bases 498-1100)
Source: RNAcentral
GUGCACGCCUUUGGUCGCAAAUCCACACACACCUGUGCAUCUAUGACUCGAGGUUGUAAUGACUGAGAGUAACUUUUAUACACUCUUGUAUGUAAUGGAAUGUCUUUUUGUGCUAUAAUGUACAAUAUAAACAACUUUCAACAACGGAUCUCUUGGCUCUCGCAUCGAUGAAGAACGCAGCGAAAUGCGAUAAGUAAUGUGAAUUGCAGAAUUCAGUGAAUCAUCGAAUCUUUGAACGCACCUUGCACCCUUUGGUAUUCCGAAGGGUAYGCCCGUUUGAGUGUCAUUGUAAUCUCACUUCUACAACUUUAUUGUUGUUUGAAUGUGGACUUGGAUGUUGCCGUUUUAUCACGGCUCGUCUUAAAUGCCUGAGUGUACCCUGUUUUGCAGCGUAUCCAGUGUAAUAAACAUUUCACUAGAGUUGGUCGAAAGACCGCGUUGACUAUAUGGGCUCUAUGCUUCAAACCGUCUGCCAUGUGGACAAUUUCUUGACAAUUUGACCUCAAAUCGGGUGGGACUACCCGCUGAACUUAAGCAUAUCAAUAAGCGGAGGAAAAGAAACUAACAAGGAUUCCCCUAGUAACGGCGAGUGAAGAGGGAAAAGCUCAAAUUUUAAAUCUGGUGUCUUUGACUCCCGAGUUGUAAUCUAGAGAAGUGUUUUCCGUGUCGGACCGUGUACAAGUUCCCUGGAACGGGGCGUCAUAGAGGGUGAGAAUCCCGUAUAUGCCACGGACUACCGAUGCUCUGUGAUACACUCUCAACGAGUCGAGUUGUUUGGGAAUGCAGCUCAAAAUGGGUGGUAAAUUCCAUCUAAAGCUAAAUAUUGGCGAGAGACCGAUAGCGAACAAGUACCGUGAGGGAAAGAUGAAAAGCACUUUGGAAAGAGAGUGAAACAGUACGUGAAAUUGUUGAAAGGGAAGCGUUUGAAGUCAGUCGCAUCUGUUGGGGUUCAGCCUGGCUUUUGCCUGGUGUAUUUCCUUUCCGAUGGGUCAGCAUCAGUUUCGACCGAGGGAAAAAGACAUUUGGAAUGUGGCUGUCUUCGGGCAGUGUUAUAGCCUUGUGUUGUAUGUCUCGGUUGGGACUGAGGAUUGCAGCGCGCC